RNAcentral lists this ribosomal RNA (253 nucleotides) under uncultured bacterium. Its description in RNAcentral is "partial 16S ribosomal RNA". It matches the Rfam family "Bacterial small subunit ribosomal RNA", at positions 524 to 776 of the family's 1533-position model. The record is from RNAcentral.
UACGUAGGGUGCGAGCGUUGUCCGGAAUUAUUGGGCGUAAAGAGCUCGUAGGCGGCCUGUCGCGUCGGAUGUGAAAGCCCGGGGCUUAACCCCGGGUCUGCAGUCGAUACGGGCGGACUGGAGUACUGCAGGGGAGACUGGAAUUCCUGGUGUAGCGGUGAAAUGCGCAGAUAUCAGGAGGAACACCGAUGGCGAAGGCAGUGUUCUGGGCCAGUACUGACGCUGAGGAGCGAGAGCGUGGGGAGCAAACAGG